Molecule: ribosomal RNA, 450 nt
Filed under: uncultured bacterium
Lineage: Bacteria
Description: bacterial SSU rRNA
Rfam family: Bacterial small subunit ribosomal RNA
Source: RNAcentral
AACGAACGCUGGCGGCAUGCCUAACACAUGCAAGUCGAACGAGACCUUCGGGUCUAGUGGCGCACGGGUGCGUAACGCGUGGGAAUCUGCCUUUGCUUCGGAAUAACAGUUAGAAAUGACUGCUAAUACCGGAUGAUGUCUUCGGACCAAAGAUUUAUCGGCAAAGGAUGAGCCCGCGUAGGAUUAGGUAGUUGGUGGGGUAAAGGCCUACCAAGCCGACGAUCCUUAGCUGGUCUGAGAGGAUGAUCAGCCACACUGGGACUGAGACACGGCCCAGACUCCUACGUGAGGCAGCAGUGGGGAAUAUUGGACAAUGGGCGCAAGCCUGAUCCAGCAAUGCCGCGUGAGUGUUGAAGGGCCUUCGGGUCGUAAAGCUCUUUUACCAGGGAUGAUAAUGACAGUACCUGGAGAAUAAGCUCCGGCUAACUCCGUGCCAGCAGCCGCGGUAAU